GCGCCGGUAGCUCAAUGGAGAGAGCAGGGGUUUCUCAACCCCCUUGUUGGGAGUUCGAUUCUCCCCCGGCGCA
Molecule: transfer RNA, 73 nt
Filed under: Chloroflexota bacterium
Lineage: Bacteria; Bacillati; Chloroflexota
Description: tRNA-Glu
Rfam family: tRNA
About the family: Transfer RNA (tRNA) molecules are approximately 80 nucleotides in length. Their secondary structure includes four short double-helical elements and three loops (D, anti-codon, and T loops).
Source: RNAcentral